UGCGGUUAAACAAAUAAUACUACUAUUUUUUUUUCGGUUUUAUAUUUAAUUAAUAAAAAAUUGAUUUAUAUUUUGGUGAGAUAUUGGGUGAAAUCCUAUUUUCCAUUUAGUUAAAUUUUUGGUUAUGAGGUUAAGAAAUCUAGUAAAUAAACUGGGAUUAGAUACCCCAUUAUUCUAGAUGUUGAAGAUUGGGCUUGAUAAGUAUAAGUUAUGUUCUUUAAAAUCAAAAAAUUUGGCGGUUUUUUAUUCCAAUCAGGGGAAUCUGUCCUGUAAUCGAUAAUCCACGAUUAAUAAAACUUUUAUUUUGCUUGUAUAUCGUCGUUGUUAAUUAUUUUUGGAAAUAUAUAAUUUUAAUAUAUGAUUGUAUUGGAAAUCAGAUCAAGGUGCAGCUUAUAUAAGUAGAGAUGGAUUACAAUAAAUUUAUUUUAGGAUUGAUUCUAGCAUUAAAAAUCUAGAAUUUGAAUUUGAAUGUAAUUUUGAUUAUUAAUUAAGAUGAAUUAGGCUCUAAAAUGUGU
Molecule: ribosomal RNA, 515 nt
Filed under: Dematotrichus capillosus
Lineage: Eukaryota; Metazoa; Arthropoda; Insecta; Coleoptera; Chrysomelidae
Description: Eumolpinae gen. 1 sp. 1 JGZ-2022a partial 12S ribosomal RNA
Source: RNAcentral